UUGAUCCUGGCUCAGAACGUACGCUGGCGGCACGCCUAACACAUGCAAGUCGAACGAAGUAGCAAUACUUAGUGGCAGACGGGUGAGUAACAUGUAGGUAUCUGCCCUUUGGCCUGGAAUAACACGAGGAAACUUGUGCUAAUACCGGAUAAGUCUUUACGGAGAAAGCUUUAUGCACCAUUGGAUGAGCCUGCACUUGAUUAGUUUGUUGGUGGGGUAAUGGCCUACCAAGACUGUGAUCAAUAGCUGAUUUGAGAGGAUGAUCAGCCACAUUGGGACUGAGACACGGCCCAAACUCCUACGGGAGGCAGCAGUGGGGAAUCUUGCACAAUGGAGGAAACUCUGAUGCAGCGAUGCCGCGUGAGUGAAGAAGGCCCUUGGGUUGUAAAGCUCUUUCGUCGGGGAAGAAAAUGACUGUACCCGAAUAAGAAGGUCCGGCUAACUUCGUGCCAGCAGCCGCGGUAAUACGAAGGGACCUAGCGUAGUUCGGAAUUACUGGGCUUAAAGAGUUCGUAGGUGGUUGAAAAAGUUAGUGGUGAAAUCCCAGAGCUUAACUCUGGAACUGCCAUUAAAACUUUUCAGCUAGAGUAUGAUAGAGGAAAGCAGAAUUUCUAGUGUAGAGGUGAAAUUCGUAGAUAUUAGAAAGAAUACCAAUUGCGAAGGCAGCUUUCUGGAUCAUUACUGACACUGAGGAACGAAAGCAUGGGUAGCGAAGAGGAUUAGAUACCCUCGUAGU
This 736-nucleotide ribosomal RNA is filed under the name uncultured marine bacterium. RNAcentral describes it as "bacterial SSU rRNA". It matches the Rfam family "Bacterial small subunit ribosomal RNA", at positions 13 to 794 of the family's 1533-position model. The record is from RNAcentral.